Molecule: long non-coding RNA, 77 nt
Filed under: Papio anubis (olive baboon)
Lineage: Eukaryota; Metazoa; Chordata; Mammalia; Primates; Cercopithecidae
Description: lncRNA (ENSPANG00000038901.1)
Source: RNAcentral
AAAAUUAACAUGACAUCUUGGAUCUUAUAAGAGUCAAGCUCUUCAGGAAAUAAACCAUGAGUUUCUUUCACAGUUUA